ACAAAACAGCAACAAUUUAUACCAAACGAGCAAGGGAAAAGGCAAAUGGAAAGAUACAGCGAAUGAUAAAAAGGUGUUAGAGUAAAUAUAAGGGUCUCUGCUCUGGGCUGAUGGUGAUUUGGAAGUGAAGACAUAGGUGAUGGAGCAGUAAUCCAUAGAGAAACAUGCACUGCCUUAGGCACAUCCUCAUGAAUUUGAGAGGUUGAAGAUCCUAUACCCAUCAGGCCUGAUCAAAGGAGAGUUUCUGAACUGGAGAAGAUAAUCAUAGACAAGAGUGAGCCCAAGUCCUGCCCUGCCUUUCCAGAAGGUUUAGAGUUGUUUGGACAGUUCUGAUUAGAAAUGACAUGUAGCAAUGGUUGUUCCA
Molecule: long non-coding RNA, 364 nt
Organism: Vombatus ursinus (common wombat)
Lineage: Eukaryota; Metazoa; Chordata; Mammalia; Diprotodontia; Vombatidae
Exons: 3
Source: RefSeq, a predicted model, not a curated record